RNAcentral lists this ribosomal RNA (269 nucleotides) under uncultured bacterium. Its description in RNAcentral is "partial 16S ribosomal RNA". It matches the Rfam family "Bacterial small subunit ribosomal RNA", at positions 1223 to 1500 of the family's 1533-position model. The record is from RNAcentral.
UGCUACAAUGGCGUAAACAAAGGGAGGCGAAGCCGCGAGGUGGAGCAAAUCCCAAAAAUAACGUCUCAGUUCGGAUUGUAGUCUGCAACUCGACUACAUGAAGCUGGAAUCGCUAGUAAUCGCGAAUCAGAAUGUCGCGGUGAAUACGUUCCCGGGCCUUGUACACACCGCCCGUCAAGCCAUGGGAGCCGGGGGUACCUGAAGUGCGUAACCGCGAGGAUCGCCCUAGGGUAAAACUGGUGACUGGGGCUAAGUCGUAACAAGGUACC